UACGUAGGGGGCUAGCGUUGUCCGGAUUUAUUGGGCGUAAAGAGCGUGUAGGCGGCCAGGUAGGUCUGGUGUGAAAACUCGAGGCUUAACCUCGAGAUGUCAUCGGAAACCAUCUGGCUAGAGUCCGGAAGAGGAGAGUGGAAUUCCUGGUGUAGCGGUGAAAUGCGCAGAUAUCAGGAGGAACGCCGGUGGCGAAGGCGGGUCUCUGGGCCGAUACUGACGCUGAGGAGCGAAAGCGUGGGGAGCGAACAGG
Molecule: ribosomal RNA, 253 nt
Filed under: uncultured bacterium
Lineage: Bacteria
Description: partial 16S ribosomal RNA
Rfam family: Bacterial small subunit ribosomal RNA
Source: RNAcentral